UGCCUUUUGAAGCUUUUUAUAAAAGGUUUAUUCUGCUCAGUGGUUUUAAACAGCCGCGGUAAUUUGACCGUGCAAAGGUAGCAUAAUCAUUUGCCUUAUAAUUGGGGGCUAGAAUGAAAGAAUGAACAAGAGUUUUACUUUAUUUUUAAGAAAAAAAUAAUUUUCUUUUUCAGUGAAGAAGCUGAAAUAGUGAAAGGGGACAAGAAGACCCUUUUGAGCUUUACUAAUAAUUAUCUUUUUGGUGGUAUAUUAGUUUGGUUGGGGCGACCUAGGAAGAGGAUCUUCCUUAAUAUAUAUUGAUCCGCUGUUUGUGAUUAAAAGAGUAAGUUACCAUAGGGAUAACAGCGUAAUCUUUUUUGAGAGUUCUUAUUAAAAAAGUGGAUUGCGACCUCGAUGUUGACUUAUAUUUUCCCUUUGGUGUAGCCGCUAAUAGGGAGGGUCUGUUCGACCUUUAAAAUUUU
This 461-nucleotide ribosomal RNA is filed under the name Ototyphlonemertes tsukagoshii. RNAcentral describes it as "partial large subunit ribosomal RNA". It matches the Rfam family "Bacterial large subunit ribosomal RNA", at positions 1819 to 2597 of the family's 2925-position model. The record is from RNAcentral. Lineage: Eukaryota; Metazoa; Nemertea; Enopla; Monostilifera; Ototyphlonemertidae.